This 274-nucleotide long non-coding RNA is filed under the name Phoenix dactylifera (date palm). RNAcentral's name for it is "long non-coding RNA (PDAC_LNC017322)". The record is from RNAcentral. Lineage: Eukaryota; Viridiplantae; Streptophyta; Magnoliopsida; Arecales; Arecaceae.
UCGGGGGAUUGAAUCAAGGGUGUAGAGGUUGGUUGGUGAGCCGAGUGUAAAACCAACGUGUAAGGGUUCGAUUGUGAUCCCGGGAAAACAAUCGGGGUUGGUUCUAGUCGGUGAGCCUGGAAAAACCGACCGAGUUCGUUGUGAGCUCGUAAAACAACAAGUUUGGUUGUGAGCUUGGAAAACAACCGGCUGUAAUCCAAGGGGUUAUAGUGAAUUCCCAAGUAAGACUUGGGGAGUGGACGUAGGAGCAAGGGUUAGCUCCGAACCACUAUAA